UACGGGGGGAGCAAGCGUUGUUCGGAUUUACUGGGCGUAAAGAGCUCGUAGGCGGUCUGUCGCGUCGGUCGUGAAAACUUGGGGCUUAACCCUGAGCUUGCGGUCGAUACGGGCAUGACUGGAGUUCGGCAGGGGAGACUGGAAUUCCUGGUGUAGCGGUGAAAUGCGCAGAUAUCAGGAGGAACACCGGUGGCGAAGGCAGGUCUCUGGGCCACUACUGACGCUGAGAAGCGAAAGCAUGGGGAGCGAACAGG
Molecule: ribosomal RNA, 254 nt
Filed under: uncultured bacterium
Lineage: Bacteria
Description: partial 16S ribosomal RNA
Rfam family: Bacterial small subunit ribosomal RNA
Source: RNAcentral